CGGCCCGUAGCUCAACGGUUAGAGCCGGGUCCUUAUAAGACCCAGACGAGGGUUCGACUCCCUCCGGGCUGA
Molecule: transfer RNA, 72 nt
Filed under: Planctomycetaceae bacterium
Lineage: Bacteria; Pseudomonadati; Planctomycetota; Planctomycetia; Planctomycetales; Planctomycetaceae
Description: tRNA-Ile
Rfam family: tRNA
About the family: Transfer RNA (tRNA) molecules are approximately 80 nucleotides in length.
Source: RNAcentral